Molecule: ribosomal RNA, 794 nt
Filed under: Haemophilus sp. HMSC061E01
Lineage: Bacteria; Pseudomonadati; Pseudomonadota; Gammaproteobacteria; Pasteurellales; Pasteurellaceae
Description: bacterial LSU rRNA
Rfam family: Bacterial large subunit ribosomal RNA
Source: RNAcentral
GGGCGGGACACGUGAUAUCCUGUUUGAAGAUGGGGGGACCAUCCUCCAAGGCUAAAUACUCCUGAUUGACCGAUAGUGAACCAGUACUGUGAAGGAAAGGCGAAAAGAACCCCGGUGAGGGGAGUGAAAUAGAACCUGAAACCUUGUACGUACAAGCAGUGGGAGCCCUUUAAGGGUGACUGCGUACCUUUUGUAUAAUGGGUCAGCGACUUAUAUUUUGUAGCGAGGUUAACCGAAUAGGGGAGCCGAAGGGAAACCGAGUCUUAACUGGGCGUUUAGUUGCAAGGUAUAGACCCGAAACCCGGUGAUCUAGCCAUGGGCAGGUUGAAGGUUGGGUAACACUAACUGGAGGACCGAACCGACUAAUGUUGAAAAAUUAGCGGAUGACUUGUGGCUGGGGGUGAAAGGCCAAUCAAACCGGGAGAUAGCUGGUUCUCCCCGAAAUCUAUUUAGGUAGAGCCUUGAGCGGACACCUUCGGGGGUAGAGCACUGUUUCGGCUAGGGGUCCAUCCCGGAUUACCAACCCGAUGCAAACUACGAAUACCGAAGAGUGAUACUCAGGAGACACACGGCGGGUGCUAACGUCCGUCGUGGAGAGGGAAACAACCCAGACCGCCAGCUAAGGUCCCAAAGUCUAUAUUAAGUGGGAAACGAAGUGGGAAGGCUUAGACAGCUAGGAUGUUGGCUUAGAAGCAGCCAUCAUUUAAAGAAAGCGUAAUAGCUCACUAGUCGAGUCGGCCUGCGCGGAAGAUGUAACGGGGCUCAAAUAUAGCACCGAAGCUGCGGCAUCAGUA